RNAcentral lists this long non-coding RNA (580 nucleotides) under Carica papaya (papaya). RNAcentral's name for it is "long non-coding RNA (CPAP_LNC004105)". Lineage: Eukaryota; Viridiplantae; Streptophyta; Magnoliopsida; Brassicales; Caricaceae. The record is from RNAcentral.
CAUACGGGUGAGCCUGGUAGGGUCACGUAACCUAGUGGUCUAUGCAUUACUGUGCACAGAAGGCUGACGAUCUAGACACCAUGGGCAUGUUAGGAUAGACCCUCAUGCACGGGUGCACUCGCCAAUUCACGCGAGGCAUCAUGCAUGUACACUCGUGCAAUAAUGUAUGGCCAUGCGCUCAUUUACGCCACACGACACAUGCACGAACACUGAUGACAUGAUGUAUGUCUUCACUCUCUCUUCCAUGUGGCAUAGUGUGCAUUUUGCACACACUGUCCCGCGCCUAGGCACUUAGUCAAGCGAACAUAUGUGGGCAUAUCGUGUAUGCCAGAGACAGACCCCACACUAUGGAUGUUCCAAGGCGAUCACCGUGCAUGCACGCGCAUGUCUUCUGCAUGCUCCGUCGAUGCGCAAGCAUGCUUGGCAAAGCCUGUAUACGAGUGCACUGCUAUGCAGGCACUGUAUGCAUGAGGCCCUGUCCUAGCAUAUAUACAUGCGUAGACAGUGUCCCUCGCAUAUCAUGCAUGCAAUUGUUCCCAUGAUGCAAUCUAUCAUGGCACCUCAGUGCCCUUUCCACUAG